GGAGGGUGCAAGCGUUAUCCGGAUUUAUUGGGUUUAAAGGGUCCGUAGGCGGAUCCGUAAGUCAGUGGUGAAAUCUCAUAGCUUAACUAUGAAACUGCCAUUGAUACUGCGGGUCUUGAGUGAGAUUGAGGUAGCUGGAAUAAGUAGUGUAGCGGUGAAAUGCAUAGAUAUUACUUAGAACACCAAUUGCGAAGGCAGGUUACCAAGUCUUAACUGACGCUGAUGGACGAAAGCGUGGGGAGCGAACAGGAUUAGAUACCCUGGUAGUCCACGCCGUAAACGAUGCUAACUCGUUUUUGGGGCUUUGGCUUCAGAGACUAAGCGAAAGUGAUAAGUUAGCCACCUGGGGAGUACGUUCGCAAGAAUG
RNAcentral lists this ribosomal RNA (367 nucleotides) under uncultured bacterium. RNAcentral describes it as "bacterial SSU rRNA". It matches the Rfam family "Bacterial small subunit ribosomal RNA", at positions 527 to 896 of the family's 1533-position model. The record is from RNAcentral.